AAAACCUUAAGUUAAAUAAACUAAGGGCUUUCCAAGCCCUCAAUAGAGAAGUCUAGGUUUUA
This 62-nucleotide transfer RNA is filed under the name Grandidierella japonica. Its description in RNAcentral is "tRNA-Gly". Lineage: Eukaryota; Metazoa; Arthropoda; Malacostraca; Amphipoda; Corophiidae. The record is from RNAcentral.